AUACGUAGGGGGCGAGCGUUGUCCGGAAUGACUGGGCGUAAAGGGCGUGUAGGCGGCUGGAUAAGUCUGGAGUGAAAGUCCUGCAUUCAAUGUGGGAAUUGCUUUGGAGACUGUCUGGCUUGAGUGCGGAAGAGGUAAGUGGAAUUCCCAGUGUAGCGGUGAAAUGCGUAGAGAUUGGGAGGAACACCAGUGGCGAAGGCGACUUACUGGGCCGUAACUGACGCUGAGGCGCGAAAGCGUGGGGAGCAAACAGGAUUAGAUACCCUGGUAGUCCACACUGUAAACGAUGAAUGCUAGGUGUAGGGGGUAUCGACCCCUUCUGUGCCGCAGUCAACACAAUAAGCAUUCCGCCUGGGGAGUACGGCCGCAAGGUUGAAACUCAAAUGAAUUGACGGGG
RNAcentral lists this ribosomal RNA (397 nucleotides) under uncultured bacterium. Its description in RNAcentral is "partial 16S ribosomal RNA". It matches the Rfam family "Bacterial small subunit ribosomal RNA", at positions 523 to 918 of the family's 1533-position model. The record is from RNAcentral.